Hibiscus syriacus is the source of this 290-nucleotide long non-coding RNA. RefSeq lists it as uncharacterized. Lineage: Eukaryota; Viridiplantae; Streptophyta; Magnoliopsida; Malvales; Malvaceae. The transcript is spliced from 3 exons. The record is from RefSeq and is a predicted model, not a curated record.
UGGAACAACACGAGUAUUCACUCACUAAUCAUUGAAUAAACCUUAACUUGAGAAGCUAACGAGGUUACAGUUCGGGAAAUUUAAGUGUUACAUAUGAUUUCGAUAUAGGUAGUUACUUUAGGGGGAAAUAAAAGGAAAAUAGCUAGAGUAACGGAGGAGUAUUUACUUAAUAAUCAUUGAAUAAGCCUUAAGUUGAGAAUCUAACGAGGUUGCAGUUCAUAACAUUGAAGUUUUAGAUAUGAUUUCAACUGUUAGAUAUGAUUUCAAUAUAGGUAGUUACUUUAGGGGGA